RNAcentral lists this ribosomal RNA (477 nucleotides) under uncultured Thermotogales bacterium. RNAcentral's name for it is "bacterial SSU rRNA". It matches the Rfam family "Bacterial small subunit ribosomal RNA", at positions 8 to 497 of the family's 1533-position model. The record is from RNAcentral. Lineage: Bacteria; Thermotogati; Thermotogota; Thermotogae; Thermotogales.
AGAGUUUGAUCCUGGCUCAGGGUUAACGCUGGCGGCGUGCGUAACACAUGCAAGUCGGACGGGUUAUAGAUCUUCGGAGAUAUAACCAGUGGCGAACGGGUGAGUAAAAGGUAGGGACCUGCCCUAAGGACAGAGAUAGCUACUGGAAACGGUAGGUAAACUCUGAUAAGCCCGAGAGGGGAAAGUGGUAGACAGCCUUAGGAUGGACCUACUAUCCAUCAGGUAGUUGGUGAGGUAAAGGCUUACCAAGCCGAUGACGGAUAACCGGUGUGAGAGCAUGGACGGUCACAAGGGCACUGAGACACGGGCCCUACUCCUACGGGAGGCAGCAGUGGGGAAUCUUGGACAAUGGGCGAAAGCCUGAUCCAGCGACGCCGCGUGAAGGAAGAAGUCCCUCGGGAUGUAAACUUCUGAACUAAUNGAAUAAAAGGGUAGUGGACACACUACAGAAGAAGGUAGGUUAGGAAAAGUCCCGGC